Molecule: ribosomal RNA, 301 nt
Filed under: uncultured bacterium
Lineage: Bacteria
Description: partial 16S ribosomal RNA
Rfam family: Bacterial small subunit ribosomal RNA
Source: RNAcentral
CAGCCGCCACGGGAAUACGCAGGGUGCAAGCGUUAAUCGGAAUUACUGGGCGUAAAGCGUGCGCAGGCGGUCCGCUAAGACAGAUGUGAAAUCCCCGGGCUUAACCUGGGAACUGCAUUUGUGACUGGCGGGCUAGAGUAUGGCAGAGGGGGGUAGAAUUCCACGUGUAGCAGUGAAAUGCGCAGAGAUGUGGAGAAAUACCGAUGGCGAAGGCAGCCCCCUGGGCCAAUACUGACGCUCAUGCACGAAAGCGUGGGGAGCAAACAGGAUUAGAUACCCCUGUAGUCCCUGUCUCUUAUAC